This 2889-nucleotide ribosomal RNA is filed under the name Pseudomonas aeruginosa BWH049. RNAcentral describes it as "bacterial LSU rRNA". It matches the Rfam family "Bacterial large subunit ribosomal RNA". The record is from RNAcentral. Lineage: Bacteria; Pseudomonadati; Pseudomonadota; Gammaproteobacteria; Pseudomonadales; Pseudomonadaceae.
UCAAGUGAAGAAGCGCAUACGGUGGAUGCCUUGGCAGUCAGAGGCGAUGAAAGACGUGGUAGCCUGCGAAAAGCUUCGGGGAGUCGGCAAACAGACUUUGAUCCGGAGAUCUCUGAAUGGGGGAACCCACCUAGGAUAACCUAGGUAUCUUGUACUGAAUCCAUAGGUGCAAGAGGCGAACCAGGGGAACUGAAACAUCUAAGUACCCUGAGGAAAAGAAAUCAACCGAGAUUCCCUUAGUAGUGGCGAGCGAACGGGGAUUAGCCCUUAAGCUUCAUUGAUUUUAGCGGAACGCUCUGGAAAGUGCGGCCAUAGUGGGUGAUAGCCCCGUACGCGAAAGGAUCUUUGAAGUGAAAUCGAGUAGGACGGAGCACGAGAAACUUUGUCUGAACAUGGGGGGACCAUCCUCCAAGGCUAAAUACUACUGACUGACCGAUAGUGAACCAGUACCGUGAGGGAAAGGCGAAAAGAACCCCGGAGAGGGGAGUGAAAUAGAACCUGAAACCGUAUGCGUACAAGCAGUGGGAGCCUACUUGUUAGGUGACUGCGUACCUUUUGUAUAAUGGGUCAGCGACUUAUAUUCAGUGGCAAGCUUAACCGUAUAGGGUAGGCGUAGCGAAAGCGAGUCUUAAUAGGGCGUUUAGUCGCUGGGUAUAGACCCGAAACCGGGCGAUCUAUCCAUGAGCAGGUUGAAGGUUAGGUAACACUGACUGGAGGACCGAACCCACUCCCGUUGAAAAGGUAGGGGAUGACUUGUGGAUCGGAGUGAAAGGCUAAUCAAGCUCGGAGAUAGCUGGUUCUCCUCGAAAGCUAUUUAGGUAGCGCCUCAUGUAUCACUCUGGGGGGUAGAGCACUGUUUCGGCUAGGGGGUCAUCCCGACUUACCAAACCGAUGCAAACUCCGAAUACCCAGAAGUGCCGAGCAUGGGAGACACACGGCGGGUGCUAACGUCCGUCGUGAAAAGGGAAACAACCCAGACCGCCAGCUAAGGUCCCAAAGUUGUGGUUAAGUGGUAAACGAUGUGGGAAGGCUUAGACAGCUAGGAGGUUGGCUUAGAAGCAGCCACCCUUUAAAGAAAGCGUAAUAGCUCACUAGUCGAGUCGGCCUGCGCGGAAGAUGUAACGGGGCUCAAACCACACACCGAAGCUGCGGGUGUCACGUAAGUGACGCGGUAGAGGAGCGUUCUGUAAGCCUGUGAAGGUGAGUUGAGAAGCUUGCUGGAGGUAUCAGAAGUGCGAAUGCUGACAUGAGUAACGACAAUGGGUGUGAAAACCCCCCACGCCGAAAGACCAAGGGUUCCUGCGCAACGUUAAUCGACGCAGGGUUAGUCGGUUCCUAAGGCGAGGCUGAAAAGCGUAGUCGAUGGGAAACAGGUUAAUAUUCCUGUACUUCUGGUUACUGCGAUGGAGGGACGGAGAAGGCUAGGCCAGCUUGGCGUUGGUUGUCCAAGUUUAAGGUGGUAGGCUGAAAUCUUAGGUAAAUCCGGGGUUUCAAGGCCGAGAGCUGAUGACGAGUCGUCUUUUAGAUGACGAAGUGGUUGAUGCCAUGCUUCCAAGAAAAGCUUCUAAGCUUCAGGUAACCAGGAACCGUACCCCAAACCGACACAGGUGGUCGGGUAGAGAAUACCAAGGCGCUUGAGAGAACUCGGGUGAAGGAACUAGGCAAAAUGGCACCGUAACUUCGGGAGAAGGUGCGCCGGCUAGGGUGAAGGAUUUACUCCGUAAGCUCUGGCUGGUCGAAGAUACCAGGCCGCUGCGACUGUUUAUUAAAAACACAGCACUCUGCAAACACGAAAGUGGACGUAUAGGGUGUGACGCCUGCCCGGUGCCGGAAGGUUAAUUGAUGGGGUUAGCGCAAGCGAAGCUCUUGAUCGAAGCCCCGGUAAACGGCGGCCGUAACUAUAACGGUCCUAAGGUAGCGAAAUUCCUUGUCGGGUAAGUUCCGACCUGCACGAAUGGCGUAACGAUGGCGGCGCUGUCUCCACCCGAGACUCAGUGAAAUUGAAAUCGCUGUGAAGAUGCAGUGUAUCCGCGGCUAGACGGAAAGACCCCGUGAACCUUUACUGUAGCUUUGCACUGGACUUUGAGCCUGCUUGUGUAGGAUAGGUGGGAGGCUUUGAAGCGUGGACGCCAGUUCGCGUGGAGCCAUCCUUGAAAUACCACCCUGGCAUGCUUGAGGUUCUAACUCUGGUCCGUAAUCCGGAUCGAGGACAGUGUAUGGUGGGCAGUUUGACUGGGGCGGUCUCCUCCUAAAGAGUAACGGAGGAGUACGAAGGUGCGCUCAGACCGGUCGGAAAUCGGUCGUAGAGUAUAAAGGCAAAAGCGCGCUUGACUGCGAGACAGACACGUCGAGCAGGUACGAAAGUAGGUCUUAGUGAUCCGGUGGUUCUGUAUGGAAGGGCCAUCGCUCAACGGAUAAAAGGUACUCCGGGGAUAACAGGCUGAUACCGCCCAAGAGUUCAUAUCGACGGCGGUGUUUGGCACCUCGAUGUCGGCUCAUCACAUCCUGGGGCUGAAGCCGGUCCCAAGGGUAUGGCUGUUCGCCAUUUAAAGUGGUACGCGAGCUGGGUUUAGAACGUCGUGAGACAGUUCGGUCCCUAUCUGCCGUGGACGUUUGAGAUUUGAGAGGGGCUGCUCCUAGUACGAGAGGACCGGAGUGGACGAACCUCUGGUGUUCCGGUUGUCACGCCAGUGGCAUUGCCGGGUAGCUAUGUUCGGAAAAGAUAACCGCUGAAAGCAUCUAAGCGGGAAACUUGCCUCAAGAUGAGAUCUCACUGGGAACUUGAUUCCCCUGAAGGGCCGUCGAAGACUACGACGUUGAUAGGCUGGGUGUGUAAGCGUUGUGAGGCGUUGAGCUAACCAGUACUAAUUGCCCGUGAGGCUUGACCAU